UACGGAAGGCAGCAGUGGGGAAUAUUGGACAAUGGGCGCAAGCCUGAUCCAGCCAUGCCGCGUGUGUGAAGAAGGCCUUUUGGUUGUAAAGCACUUUAAGCGAGGAGGAGGCUCUCUUAGUUAAUACCUAAGAUGAGUGGACGUUACUCGCAGAAUAAGCACCGGCUAACUCUGUGCCAGCAGCCGCGGUAAUACAGAGGGUGCGAGCGUUAAUCGGAUUUACUGGGCGUAAAGCGUGCGUAGGCGGCUUUUUUAAGUCGGAUGUGAAAUCCCCGAGCUUAACUUGGGAAUUGCAUUCGAUACUGGGAAGCUAGAGUAUGGGAGAGGAUGGUAGAAUUCCAGGUGUAGCGGUGAAAUGCGUAGAGAUCUGGAGGAAUACCGAUGGGCGAAGGGCAGCCAUCUGGCCUAAUCUGACGCUGAGGUCGAAAGCAUGGGGA
This 437-nucleotide ribosomal RNA is filed under the name uncultured bacterium. RNAcentral describes it as "bacterial SSU rRNA". It matches the Rfam family "Bacterial small subunit ribosomal RNA", at positions 340 to 767 of the family's 1533-position model. The record is from RNAcentral.